This 77-nucleotide transfer RNA is filed under the name Gottschalkia acidurici 9a. RNAcentral describes it as "tRNA-Met". It matches the Rfam family "tRNA". Rfam says of the family: Transfer RNA (tRNA) molecules are approximately 80 nucleotides in length. Lineage: Bacteria; Bacillati; Bacillota; Tissierellia; Tissierellales; Gottschalkiaceae. The record is from RNAcentral.
GGCGGUGUAGCUCAGUUGGCUAGAGCAUGCGGUUCAUACCCGCAGUGUCAGCGGUUCAAAUCCGUUCACCGCUACCA